Molecule: non-coding RNA, 30 nt
Filed under: Rattus norvegicus (Norway rat)
Lineage: Eukaryota; Metazoa; Chordata; Mammalia; Rodentia; Muridae
Source: RNAcentral
UAAGCCCAGUCAAAUAGAGAUUUCACCAUC